AGAGUUUGAUCAUGGCUCAGGAUAAACGCCGGCGGUGUGCCUAAUACAUGCAAGUCGUACGCACUGGCCCAACUGAUUGAUGGUGCUUGCAUCUGAUUGACGAUGGAUCACCAGUGAGUGGCGGACGGGUGAGUAACACGUAGGUAACCUGCCCCGGAGCGGGGGAUAACAUUUGGAAACAGAUGAUAAUACCGCAUAACAACAAAAGCCGCAUGGCUUUUGUUUGAAAGAUGGCUUUGGCUAUCACUCUGGGAUGGACCUGCGGUGCAUUAGCUAGUUGGUAAGGUAAAGGCUUACCAAGGCGAUGAUGCAUAGCCGAGUUGAGAGACUGAUCGGCCACAAUGGAACUGAGACACGGUCCAUACUCCUACGGGAGGCAGCAGUAGGGAAUCUUCCACAAUGGGCGCAAGCCUGAUGGAGCAACACCGCGUGAGUGAAGAAGGGUUUCGGCUCGUAAAGCUCUGUUGUUGGAGAAGAACGUGCGUGAGAGUAACUGUUCGCGCAGUGACGGUAUCCAACCAGAAAGUCACGGCUAACUACGUGCCAGCAGCCGCGGUAAUACGUAGGUGGCAAGCGUUAUCCGGAUUUAUUGGGCGUAAAGCGAGCGCAGGCGGUUGCUUAGGUCUGAUGUGAAAGCCUUCGGCUUAACCGAAGAAGUGCAUCGGAAACCGGGCGACUUGAGUGCAGAAGAGGACAGUGGAACUCCAUGUGUAGCGGUGGAAUGCGUAGAUAUAUGGAAGAACACCAGUGGCGAAGGCGGCUGUCUGGUCUGCAACUGACGCUGAGGCUCGAAAGCAUGGGUAGCGAACAGGAUUAGAUACCCUGGUAGUCCAUGCCGUAAACGAUGAGUGCUAGGUGUUGGAGGGUUUCCGCCCUUCAGUGCCGGAGCUAACGCAUUAAGCACUCCGCCUGGGGAGUACGACCGCAAGGUUGAAACUCAAAGGAAUUGACGGGGGCCCGCACAAG
This 966-nucleotide ribosomal RNA is filed under the name Limosilactobacillus reuteri. RNAcentral's name for it is "bacterial SSU rRNA". It matches the Rfam family "Bacterial small subunit ribosomal RNA", at positions 8 to 929 of the family's 1533-position model. Lineage: Bacteria; Bacillati; Bacillota; Bacilli; Lactobacillales; Lactobacillaceae. The record is from RNAcentral.